Long non-coding RNA from Apis cerana (Asiatic honeybee), 410 nucleotides. RefSeq lists it as uncharacterized. Lineage: Eukaryota; Metazoa; Arthropoda; Insecta; Hymenoptera; Apidae. The record is from RefSeq and is a predicted model, not a curated record.
ACUACUGCAGCCAAUUAGAAAGCUGUUGAGACUAAGGAGCGAGACGAAUCAGUAUACAUUAUAACGCGCAUGGCAUUAAUCUACAAUUGAAAAUCAUAGUAACAGUUGUGUUUCAUCUGCAAAGAUACAUGAUAACAUACAAAAUUUUUAUUGAUAGUAUAUUUAUUAAAAUUUGUAUAAUCAAUACAAAUUGUGCUUGUUUAAUCAUUAUUAUAUUAAAAUUAAAUAUUAUAGAUUAUCGUUUGAUUGAGUUUUGAAAGUGUAAUAUUUUUUGUACACAUGUUUGCACAUAUGUCAACUAAGAAAUAAUCUUACAAUUUUUAUUCAAAUAUGAUAUUUCUCAAUUUCCAUGACUUCUCAUGACCAUUCACAACAAUAUUAAUGGCAAUGCAGUUUCUUCGCAACUAGUG